RNAcentral lists this ribosomal RNA (463 nucleotides) under uncultured bacterium. Its description in RNAcentral is "bacterial SSU rRNA". It matches the Rfam family "Bacterial small subunit ribosomal RNA", at positions 28 to 507 of the family's 1533-position model. The record is from RNAcentral.
GGUUAACGCUGGCGGCGUGCCUAACACAUGCAAGUCGAACGGUUCUAAGCGCGAGCUUAGGAUAGUGGCGAACGGGUGAGUAAAAGGUAGGAAUCUACCCCUUGGACGGAGAUAGCUACUGGAAACGGUAGGUAAACUUCGAUAAGCCCGAGAGGGGAAAGUGGUGAGACAGCCGAGGGAUGAGCCUACUCUCCAUCAGGUAGUUGGUGAGAUAAAGCUUACCAGGCCGAUGACGGAUAACCGGUGUGAGAGCAUGAACGGUCACAAGGGCACUGAGAGACGGGCCCUACUCCUACGGGAGGCAGCAGUGGGGAAUCUUGGACAAUGGGCGAAAGCCUGAUCCAGCGACGCCGCGUGGAGGAAGAAGUCCUUCGGGAUGUAAACUUCUGAACUAGCCGAAUAAAAGGCCUGUGGACACACAGGAGAAGAAAGUAGGCUAGGAAAAGUCCCGGCUAACUACGUG